Molecule: long non-coding RNA, 237 nt
Filed under: Capsicum annuum
Lineage: Eukaryota; Viridiplantae; Streptophyta; Magnoliopsida; Solanales; Solanaceae
Description: long non-coding RNA (CANN_LNC010325)
Source: RNAcentral
GCAUGCUUUGAAUAUAGACUUAUUAUAUGUGAUUAACACCUAUGAUAUCAUUUUGCAAUUUACUUUUUCAAACAAGCAUUGUAACAUGUAUGUAAAAAACCAGUUAACAUAAUAACAUAAAUCAAGUUGGAUUUCAACUAAAUAAACCAUUAGUUACCAUCGGUAUAUAUAAUAAGAAAAGGUGAAUGGGGAAUGAGAAGACACGCAAGCAAUAUUAUCAUCCUAUUGAUAAUAAUA